Molecule: RNA transcript, 3335 nt
Organism: Cucumis melo (muskmelon)
Lineage: Eukaryota; Viridiplantae; Streptophyta; Magnoliopsida; Cucurbitales; Cucurbitaceae
Exons: 12
Source: RefSeq, a predicted model, not a curated record
ACAAUGCUCAAAUUUUGUUGUUUUGCUAUUGCUUCUACGUUCAGUUUGAAAAAUUAAGGGGAAAAAAGAAGGAAGAAAUAAAAGAAAAGAAAAGGAAAAAGAGACGAGAGAGAGAUGAAAGGAAACGGUCUGUUGCGUAAAUGGCGAGGGAGAUUCUCUUCCCCAACCUCUACACAAACCUAAGUUCAAAACCUAUUUGCGAAUUUCACAGAUCUCUUAUGCUCUUCCUUAUUCAAUCCAACUUCUCAUCAAAAUUCUUCAUUCUCUCUAUCAUGUGAUUCAUUUUGAUGCCAACCAUCCAUUGAUUGCUUAUUCAUUUCCCUUUUGUUCAUGCCAUGCCACAUUUCUUUUCUUCAUCUUUCAUUCUAUCCACAAGUGUUUCUUCUACUUCUUUCUGCCUACAGCGGGUUUCUUCAAGAAAAGGCUACAGCCCAGUAUUGACGUUUAUUCGUUUGUUUUUCCCCGGGCAAUGGUAGCAGAGGUGGUUGAAUCAAGGAAGAAGGGUGGUUUUGGGUUUUUUGGAUUGUGAUGUCUUGUGGUGGAGAAGCUGGUAAGCAAUGGACUUGUGCAAAAGCCGGCGCUGCCAGUUUGCAGAAAGUGGGUUUGAUUGUGCGAGAUAUUGGCGAGCCAUGCCUUUCACAAUCGCCCAUAAAGGUUGUUAUAACUGUAAACAGAAUGCUCAAGCCAGAGAAGUGGCUGGCUGCAUUUGAUAGUGAUGGAAAGGCUCUUGGUUUUCAGAAGACACUCAAAUCAAUAGUUUUGGGGGGUGUGGAUCCGUCUAUUAGGGCAGAAGUAUGGGAAUUUUUGCUUGGUUGUUAUGCUGUAGGUAGCACUGCUGAGCACCGAGGCCAACUAAGGACUGCCAGAAGGGAACGUUACAAGUACCUGAUCGAGGAGUGUCGGAUGAUACAUUCUAGCAUAGGAACUGGUUCCCUAGCCUACCCUGUGGGUUCUAAAGUUAUGGAUAUGAGGACGUCGUCUAAAGAGGGACCAAGGGAAGCUGAGAAUGAAAGUAGAGAAGUUUCUAUUCUUAAUACUCAUACAGUAGAAGAUUCUUUUUGUAGGAAUAAUAAUUGUAUAGAUAAAUCAUACACAUGUGAAAGGGAAAACUCGAAUGAUUCAGCAGAACUUGCGAGUGUUAGAGAAAGUACAGAUAGUGCGGCAGAUGGGUCCACCUGUUGUGUCCCCAUUUCUGGUCCUUGCAAUUGUCAUUCCCUAAAACCUGGGAGUGAAGCAGAUGGAUCGGCAAUUGUUACAGAAAAUGAUUAUGAUUUUCCUCCUCUACCUGUCAUCAACUUGUUUGACAAGGACAACCGUGAUAAGAACAAAUAUUUCCUGCAUAAUGCCAAACUUUCAACUCAACGUGAAUUGAGAUUUGAAGAUGGCAGCAUGCACAGUUUUCAGAUAAAUAACAAUGAAGAUUUAGUUAUUGAAUCAACUGCCUCAUCCUCCAACAAUGUUUCUCAUCCCAUUAGCUCUGAAAUUGAAAUGAUACAUGUCGAUUCCAGCGAUCCAGAAUUUCAGAAUAAUAGCUCAUGCAAUAACGUGAAGCCAAAUGCACCAGAAACAGAAUACUUAAAUGCAACAGUCCACUGUAAUAGUGGUACUAGUGAAGAUAGAGUAUCUGAAUGGCUUUGGACUCUGCACCGAAUAGUGGUAGAUGUGGUUCGAACGGAUAGUCAUCUUGAGUUCUAUGAGGAUACGAGAAACUUAGCUAGAAUGUCGGAUAUCCUUGCAGUUUAUGCAUGGGUUGAUCCUGCGACUGGUUAUUGUCAAGGAAUGAGUGACUUGCUGUCUCCUUUUGUUGUUCUAUUUGAGGAUAAUGCUGACGCAUUUUGGUGUUUCGAGAUGCUCUUAAGAAGAAUGCGUGAGAAUUUUCAAAUGGAAGGCCCAAUUCGGGUGAUGAAACAGUUAGAAGCAUUGUGGAAAAUUUUGGAACUUACUGACAGGGAAAUCUUCACUCACCUGUCGCAUAUAGGUGCUGAGAGCCUACAUUUUGCAUUUCCAAUGCUCUUGGUACUUUUUCGUCGGGAGCUAUCAUUUAAUGAGGCACUUUGUAUGUGGGAGAUGAUGUGGGCUGCUGAUUUUGACGAAUCAAGAGCUUACAGUUUAGAGAGUAGUUGUCUGGAAGCAUUGACCUUACAACUUCCAAGAGGCUCGGAAGUGGAAAUAAGUGAAGGAGACAUGGACAAUAGUAAUAUUAACACGAAAGACACCUUACAAUCAAAUAAUGGAAAUUUGGAACGUUCAUCAUGUGACAAUGCUGGAAUGAAAUCAACAUCUGCCCACACUUUUUGUGGCUUGACAAGGAAUCUUUGUUCAAGGAAUGAUCCUACAAAGAAGUGCACUGCAAUAUCAUCAACUGAGCAAGGUGAUGACGAGCUUCCUGUUUAUUGUGUUGCAGCAAUCCUUAUAAUGAAUCGCCAAAAGAUAAUUAGAGAAACACGUUCUAUUGAUGAUCUAAUAAAGAUUUUCAAUGAUAAGAUGCUGAAGAUUAGUGUCAAAAGAUGUAUACGUACAGCAAUCAAAUUGCGGAAGAAAUAUUUCUCCAAGGUGACAUGCAGGUAAUCAAGAAAAGGAAGCCUCCAAUCUCAUUAUGAGGACUAGAGCUGCACCAUUUAUAUGAUGGAACAAAAGUACAGUAAUAGCUGUUAUGAAACAGUUGAUGAAAAAUGCGUCGGCAGUUCAAAGAUUCAAACUGAUGUUUAUGCGACUGCCUCUGCUUCAGAUUCUUUAUUGUGCAGAGAUUAUGAAAAUGGAAGAAAGAAAUAUCUUUGCUUUUGUCGUCAACGAGCAAUUGGAAUUCAUUGUACAGGCUUAAGGUUAUUGAUUUCAUUUUCGAAUCAUUUUUCCUUCAAUUAUUGUACUGCUGAUGGCAUCUUAGAAACCUAUACAUCCUGAGGGGAAGAAGUUAGUGCAUUUGAUUUUUGAUAGCUUUAGCUAGAAAAGCGAAAUAGGUGAUAAAUCGAUAGCAUGGUCAAAAUAUUAAGUUACUUAUGCACCAAGAAGUUUCAACUGCGAGUAGAAUGAGUAGAUUGUAGAUUUUUCAUCCUAUAGAGGAAUUUGUAUUGCCAAUUCUUUCUUUGUCAUUGAAGGCAACAUUUCAUCACUCUACUUUUCAUAUUUUCUUGAUGCUAAGUGGUCUUAGUUUUGUAUUGAACAAUUAAUCUAUACUACAUUCUGGUAGAUAAUGGAGAGUUCACAUGUUUGCUCUGCCAUCAAAUAGAGGAUUGAGUUUUUCUUUCCCCCUUCUAGGGAGUAGAAAUUUGCAUUAUGUCAUUUUGCUGGUAUAACAAUCCCUCACAACAGCAAUUUGAAGGGACGGAUUUUCCCAA